GAUGAACGCUGGCGGCGUGCUUAACACAUGCAAGUCGAACGAAGAUGCCGGAGUGCUUGCACUUUGGCAGACUGAGUGGCGGACGGGUGAGUAACGCGUGGGUAACCUGCCUUAUACAGGGGGAUAACAGUUGGAAACGACUGCUAAUACCGCAUAAGCGCACGGUAUCGCAUGAUACAGUGUGAAAAACUCCGGUGGUAUAAGAUGGACCCGCGUCUGAUUAGCUUGUUGGUGAGGUAACGGCCCACCAAGGCGACGAUCCAUAGCCGACCUGAGAGGGUGACCGGCCACAUUGGGACUGAGACACGGCCCAAACUCCUACGGGAGGCAGCAGUGGGGAAUAUUGCACAAUGGGCGAAAGCCUGAUGCAGCGACGCCGCGUGAGCGAAGAAGUAUUUCGGUAUGUAAAGCUCUAUCAGCAGGGAAGAUAAAUGACGGUACCUGACUAAGAAGCACCGGCUAAAUACGUGCCAGCAGCC
This 479-nucleotide ribosomal RNA is filed under the name uncultured bacterium. Its description in RNAcentral is "bacterial SSU rRNA". It matches the Rfam family "Bacterial small subunit ribosomal RNA", at positions 28 to 516 of the family's 1533-position model. The record is from RNAcentral.